UUGGAGUAAAACACGGUGGAAGCUGAAUUAGUGAGGAUGACUCCUGCUCCUGUCAUCUCUAAGCUCCUCACACAUCUUUACCUGCACAUGAGGAAAAUCACUCCUGUAGAAUGCAGUGGUUCAUCAGAACCUCUGGGGAUGUCCUGUGGAUUCUGUGGAUCCUGUGGGUUGCAGGGUGGGUCCUACCUAGACCAGGCUGAUCCUGGACCAUCCCACAGAUGCUCAGUCAGAUCUGGAUGUGGGGAGUGUGGAACCCAGAUGUUCAGAGGGAGAUGAUGCCACAUCUGGUCCAGCUGAUGGAAGGUCUUGAAGUUCUCUGACUGGCCUCGACUGAAGAUGGUCGUCUCACUGGAUUUAAGGUUCAGAUGCUCAGUAACAAACUCCACCAAUGUGCCAACAGGGAAGCUUUAGGUUUAUUAAAUGUUGCUAUGAAGGUAUCACUGUUUUUCUUUGUGAAUGCAAUGUGCUCCAACUGAAACUUGAAUUAGAACUUAGAAGUAAAUCCUUCCAUCUGAAAGGAUUUAGUUGCAUUAAUAACCUCAUAACAUUCUAAUUUUCAUUCCAGUCUUGGUUGGAAAUAGAAUCUCUGUAUUGAUUCAGGUAAAAACUGAACUUCACAGCAUGUUGGAGCAAAACAACCAGAUGAAAACUGUGAUGGUGUUGGAUUGUCAGACCGUAAUGUUGCAGCUCAAAGCAGCUUUUCUAGCUCAGUUCAUUCUGACAUUCAGCUAUGAAUCAACACAGCAGAUGGUGAUCCAUGCUGUGGAAGUCUCACAUCUCCUGAUUUAAUGGAGCUGCUUUGCACUUUUUACACUGUUUAUUCACCAACACUUUAUUUAAUAAAAGUCCCAUCUAGUUUUUAUGAGGAAUGUGAUGUUUUAAUUUCUCUGUGAAUAACUGCAGUCUAAUGCAACAGCUGGAGUUGUAACAUCUGUCCUGAUAUUGAUCAUGAAGUAUUGAUCAGAAUACUUAUGGUUAGCAGUCAUCCCUGAAGUUUUACAUUAAAAUCUUUACUUGUGUUGUGAACUUUGGUAAGAAGCAGAAACGUUAGCGUUGCCAUGGAUACAUGAGUGUUAAAUUCUGUCCAUGUUUCCAUUUUGGGAAAUUCAGUCCAGUUCCAGAAUGUGGAGGAAUUUAGUCUCACAAUCACAGACAACAAAUAUUAUCUGAAAGUCGGGUUAUUGUUGUUUAUCAGCACAAUACAAAAAGAUUAAUGUUAGAAAUAUUCCAUUUAAGACUCUAGAAUAUCAUGAUUUAUGUAACUUUACCUCAAUAAUAUAAAUGUUCAGGUUAAGAUUGUACAGUGAUAUUUAUUAUGUAAGUUUAGCUGAUUAAAGUUUAUGACUCUGCACUAAAAUAUUAUUUAAAUUGACAUCAUUAUUAUAAUAUUUAGGGUCAGACCCUACAGUAUUGAGAUUAAGAAAUCAAAUAUUCUAUAAAAUGUAAAUACACUGAACUCAUUUGGAUAUAUUUAAGUGAGACUCUACAAUAUUAUUUGACACAAAUCUAUCUAAAUCAAAAUUUUAAUAAUUUUCACGCCAAACAUUUACUGGACUGAUUUAAACAUUAAAAUCACUUCUUUCUUAUCCUCUGCUGUACGUUCAAACCUGAGGCCUUAAAUAGAAACACAAGUAUCUGAUUGAAGGAACUUCUGCAGAGUCCUGGUUCCAGAACAUGAUGAUAGAAUUAUAGACAAACUUUAACAAAAGCUGCCUGAGAGUUUACAGGUUUUUAUGUUGGAUUUCUUCAGUAGUUUAAUGAGCAUUAUCAGCAAUAAUCAAGUGUUCAUUUGAUGAACUUCAUUUCCUAAAACAUACAGAAUUGGAGCUCAUAUCUUUGGCAGCUGUAAAGUUUCUGCUCCUUCAAAGUUCACAACACAAUGAAUGAAUUCCUAAAACACUCUCAAUGCUGGAGAGCGUUUGAUGCUGAAGCAGUGAUCAGUUUUUCUGUUUCUUCUCUGGAGAUGCACAAUGAGGGACGUCUGCAGAGACUGAGAAAGAGUCUCACCACAUCCUGACAUGAGGAAAAAGACUUUAUUGAAGACUACAAUGAGAAAAACUAUCAGACAGCAGACGGCUGCAUUCAAGAGAAGAAGACCAUCAAACAUCCAUGUCAGCUGAUGGAGGUCCAAGAGUCUCACCAAACAAACAACCUACAGAGUGAAGACCUCAAAUCUGAUUGGACAGCCUCCUAUUCAGCCAUGUGUGAACAAAUGCCUCUAAGCUGAUUU
Long non-coding RNA from Amphiprion ocellaris (clown anemonefish), 2230 nucleotides. RefSeq lists it as uncharacterized. The record is from RefSeq and is a predicted model, not a curated record. Lineage: Eukaryota; Metazoa; Chordata; Actinopteri; Pomacentridae. The transcript is spliced from 5 exons.